GGAGGGGUGACCGAGCGGCCGAUGGUGACGGUCUUGAAAACCGUUUUAGCUUCGUGCUAACGCGGGUUCGAAUCCCGCCCCCUCCGCCA
Molecule: transfer RNA, 89 nt
Filed under: Dehalococcoidia bacterium
Lineage: Bacteria; Bacillati; Chloroflexota; Dehalococcoidia
Description: tRNA-Ser
Rfam family: tRNA
About the family: Transfer RNA (tRNA) molecules are approximately 80 nucleotides in length. Their secondary structure includes four short double-helical elements and three loops (D, anti-codon, and T loops).
Source: RNAcentral